CACAUGAUAACGCUUGGAUUGCCCAUUCGGGCAACACCGAAGCCCCUUCCCUACCCCCCCCACGCCACACAACGAUAUCCGUAUCGCGUAUACUGAGCAUCAUUGCUGCCACAACCGCCAUCACCGUCACGACGGCGCCUGCUCUCCGUUGCCUCGCGCCCGCUUCCCAAAAAGCCGGUCCGCUGCACCUCUCACAUCAGCGAUCACCGCUGUCGCUCGCGCACCUGCGUUGAGCUGAUUCUCAUGCUCCCUCUUCUGCUGCCAUGCUUGGGGAGGGGGAGGUCACGGGCGUUGGCCGCUGAACAUCGUCGCCGUCAUGGUCUACGUGAAGUAAGCUGCUUGUCCUCCGAGCACACGUAGCGAGCAUAGACCCAUUCAACAGCUGAAGGGCCGAAGGGCGUCACGCACACGUACGGCUCGAUGAGCACGGUCGGCUGCGCAUCGUCAGCCGCAUCAAGUCGCUGGCGAAGAACGCCCUAGGUGAGUACAUCCCGAUGGAGAACCUGGAGUCCCUGUACGCGCAGGUGAGCCUGUGCGUGCCGAACGGCGUGUGCGUCGUUGUCCACGCUGCCAAGUACUACGUCUGUGCCAUCGCGUGCACGACGGAGAGCAAGGCGAUGGUGUUCGCGCGGCAGCACGACAUCCAGUGUGAGUGGCCGCCAUGCCAAAAGUGGUAUGCGGCGCGUCGGGUGAUCACUGGACGACGGAGGAGCGAGAUCGUCUACGACGGCUAAACAAGCGAAGGGAAGGGUGCUGCUCACCGUGUGGUUGUACGGCAUGCGAAGCAGAACAGACCGAGAGAGAACAAGGGCGGUGGGGGGUAUGGGGAGGGGAAAGAGGGGGCUGACGGCGAUGUGGGCCGGCACGACGAGGCUCAUUAUGAUCCGUGGCGAUGUCUCCGCCGGCCCCCGCCCCGCUCGAAGGCCACACCACACUGCGGCAACGACCUCAUGUCCUUCUUCCUCCCUCCCCCCCCACCUCUCUUUGUUGUUUGCAGCCGCAGAAGCCAGCUGGGAGCGGCCAAGGUGAAGGGGUCGGCGUUGGCUCGCGUGCGGCGGUCUUACAGGAAGCUCUACCGAAAGCAGCAGCCGCAGUCGCGGUUGUUAGCUGUGGUGACUGUCCCCCUCCUCCACCCCCUACCUGGGCACUUCCUGUUGCUCGUCCAUUCCACCAGGAAUGGACGGCGGAUGUGAGCGCCUUCGCCUGG
This 1207-nucleotide unclassified non-coding RNA is filed under the name Leishmania donovani. RNAcentral describes it as "gene:LdHU3.01.0600(CDS-product:hypothetical_prote in)". Lineage: Eukaryota; Euglenozoa; Kinetoplastea; Trypanosomatida; Trypanosomatidae. The record is from RNAcentral.